GGCGACGUAGCCAAGUGGCAAGGCAGAGGUCUGCAAAACCUUCACCAUCGGUUCGAAUCCGAUCGUCGCCU
RNAcentral lists this transfer RNA (71 nucleotides) under Chloroflexota bacterium. RNAcentral's name for it is "Chloroflexi bacterium (anaerobic digester metagenome) tRNA-Cys". It matches the Rfam family "tRNA". Rfam says of the family: Transfer RNA (tRNA) molecules are approximately 80 nucleotides in length. Their secondary structure includes four short double-helical elements and three loops (D, anti-codon, and T loops). The record is from RNAcentral. RNAcentral also lists the same sequence under 2 other names. Lineage: Bacteria; Bacillati; Chloroflexota.